GAGAAUUGAAGAAAUUUAAUUUGUAAUUAUGUAAGAUUUUAUGAAUUAUUGUUGAAAUUAAUUAUUAUGUAUGUUAAGAUUUAAUAAUUUAUUUUGGCCUUGCAUAUUCUUUAGGACUUGCUCUAAGGAGUGUGCGGCCAUCACGUAUCCGAUCCGAGUGUUGGGUUCGGGGCAUGACAACAUCAAACAGUAACUAACGAGCAAGGGGCAAAAAGCUAAGCUGACCUCAAAUACAGGCAUUAAAAGGAUAAAAAAUAGGGUAUGCACACU
This 270-nucleotide long non-coding RNA is filed under the name Elaeis guineensis (African oil palm). Its description in RNAcentral is "long non-coding RNA (EGUI_LNC072891)". The record is from RNAcentral. Lineage: Eukaryota; Viridiplantae; Streptophyta; Magnoliopsida; Arecales; Arecaceae.